RNAcentral lists this ribosomal RNA (330 nucleotides) under uncultured bacterium. RNAcentral describes it as "bacterial SSU rRNA". It matches the Rfam family "Bacterial small subunit ribosomal RNA", at positions 568 to 899 of the family's 1533-position model. The record is from RNAcentral.
UGUGUAGGCGGUUGUUUAAGUUUGGUGUGAAAUCUCCCGGCUCAACUGGGAGGGUGCGCCGAAUACUGAAUGACUCGAGUGCGGGAGAGGAAAGUGGAAUUCCUGGUGUAGCGGUGAAAUGCGUAGAUAUCAGGAGGAACACCGGUGGUGUAGACGGCUUUCUGGACCGUAACUGACGCUGAGACACGAAAGCGUGGGUAGCAAACAGGAUUAGAUACCCUGGUAGUCCACGCCCUAAACGAUGCAUAUUUGGUGUGGGCAGUUCAUUCUGUCCGUGCCGGAGCUAACGCGUUAAAUAUGCCGCCUGGGGAUACAGUCGCAAGGCUAGAA